Molecule: non-coding RNA, 21 nt
Filed under: Arabidopsis thaliana (thale cress)
Lineage: Eukaryota; Viridiplantae; Streptophyta; Magnoliopsida; Brassicales; Brassicaceae
Source: RNAcentral
UGUAGUAUUUUAGGUUGUCAA